UGUUCUUUAGUUUAAUAAAAAUUAUUUAUUUACAUUAAAUUAAUCAUCUUAUGAUGGAUGGGGAACUA
RNAcentral lists this transfer RNA (68 nucleotides) under Mutilla europaea. RNAcentral's name for it is "tRNA-Val". Lineage: Eukaryota; Metazoa; Arthropoda; Insecta; Hymenoptera; Mutillidae. The record is from RNAcentral.